Heterocephalus glaber (naked mole-rat) is the source of this 2450-nucleotide long non-coding RNA. NCBI's taxonomy places the organism in Eukaryota, Metazoa, Chordata, Mammalia, Rodentia, Bathyergidae. The record is from Ensembl.
CUGUAUCUGAUUGAAAAACACAAGAAAUCAUUAUUUUAGUAGCAUCCCAUUUUACAAGAGCACAAGCUAUCUGCUUGAAUCCAAAAAAACUGAUAUGAUCAUAACUAAGAACAGAAAAUGUACACAUGUCCAAGUGGAGAAGAAUCAUAUUAGGGGGUCGAAAUAUCACAGAUGGCUGAUCAUGGAUUCCUAGCCUCUCUUGCAGAUAGAGGAGGUAUGGAGCAAUUCUGGCAUGAAAUACAGACAGAUUAUUUGAAAGAGUGACUGAAUACUACAGUGAGAAUUCUGUGCAAGAAGGAAGGGUAUACAUAACUGUGACCACUGUGUUGCAAUCUGAGAAAGUUAAUGCAUAAUCAAAUACACAUUCACAGCCCCUGGGAUUUCUAAAAGAGAUCGUGUGCUCUAGCUUCUAAGAAACUCAGCCGAGCGGCGUGGACUGUGUUCCUGAGGAACAUUCCCUGAAGCUGUGUGGUGGCUCAGAUGGGAGGAAGGGAGCGGGUGGUAGAAUUAGAUGGAAAGCAGAGUCUCCCUGCUUCCAACCGUGAAAAGGGGGAGCUAAAGAUGGAUGGGACAAGUUGAUUUUCACUUUCAAAACAAAAUGAGAACAGAAAAAGUCAAAAUGGAUUAUGGAGAGUUUUGAGGCAAUGUGUGUGAGAAGGACAGAAUAGGAAUACAGAAUAUUGGUUUAUUCAUCCACAGACUCCCUAGACAUUAUCCAUCCUAAUGAUCAGGAAAAAAUGAAUAAAUAGACCGCUUACUGCAGGGGAAAGUUUUUGCUGGGCUUUAGGUGAAAGAUACCCGUGAAAUGCAAGCAAAAAUAAAGAGAAAAAACUGCCAAUCAUAUUUCCAUCCUUGCACAAUAGUGCUCCUCUGAAGGUAGGCUCUGUUACCAAAACUGUACACUUAAGAAACCUGCAGGAGAAGGAAGGUAAUAGCAUUUUGUCUGCGUGACAAUCUGCAGUGUUGCCAGGUCAGUGCAUAGAUUGUACGUUUGUAUGUGUGGUGUUUUGGGCUGGGGUGGACAUUCUAGUGCCCCUGUCUUGAAGCAAGCCUCCCUAGAGCAGUUGGCUUCUAUUUUUCCUGCAGGCUCUGCAUCUGAGUUCUGCUGUGCAAGUGAAAAACAAGUUUGAACUUUUAUUUGAGUAUCAUCUUUACCUCUAGACAAUAGUAUUUCAAGUUCCUUGAGAGCAACAUCCCAGGGGCCACCUCCUCUUGGGCAGCCUUGCUCCUGUGCCUGUGUUAAUGUGCUAUUUUUAAGGAUACUUUUGGAAAUAAUGCUAAUGGAGUGUGCCAGAAGAUCCAGUUUUUGGAGUUUGUUGAAAUGAUAUGGAAGGCCCCAUAAUUUAAGAAUAUUUUGUCAUGUCCUUUGAAGACUGAAAUAGGGAGCCCUGUCCUCACCCAUGGCUCUGUGUAGCCACAGAACAUUCCCUCUGUGUCCAUGCUCCUGUGUAAUAGUCACAUGUUCAUAGACUCAGCAAAGGAGCAAAUCUAGAAAAUAUUUCUAAUUCUGCCACCAAUGAAAAGAAAGUACUGAGGACCAGGGACAUACAGACUUUUAUAACCCUGGUGCUUGGUAUUUUUCAAGGCAGAGAAACUAUUCUGUAUGAUAAUUGAAUGGCUGAAUACAUGUAAUUUUACAUUUGUCUAAAUCUAAAUAUUCACAGUUACUGUACUCUAAUGUCAACUUAAAAUUCAUUUAAUUUAAUUUAAUUAAUUUAUUUUUGGUACCAGGGAUCGUACUUGGGACCUUGUGCUUGUGAGGGAGGCACCACUGAGCUAAAUCCGCAGCCCUUAAAAUUCGUUUUAAAUUGAUGAGUCAUUGAAUCAUGAAUUAUUUUCAGGUCCAACUCUUUUGAAUCACCUUUCAUGUCACAGUUCUCAGUGUCUGCAUUUCCUCACACAACACAGCCCUGAGUAUCAUCAAGAGAACUGGUGAUAGGGAUGGGGAUAAGGUCCUGAGUUCGAUCCCCGGUACCAAAAAAAAAAAAAGAGUACUGGUGAUAGAGUGCUACUUCAAAGAGCGCAUCAUGGCUAUCUUCUGUUUACUGUCAGUGGGAAACAUUGGACCAAAGAAUGACGUCUUAAUGAUAGUCCUGCUCAACCCAUGAAUCGGUCACAUCAGCCUCCUGUUGCUCUGAAUUUUCUGUCAUCGAUUUCAAGAGUUUCCAGUUUAUCCUGCCUUUAACUGCAUUGCGUGGUGUUUGACAGGCAACCCUUUUGCACCUGCCUCUCUGACAAAGUGAGGUACAGCUUCAUAUACUUGACCAUGUCUGGAGCCAGUGGCCUUCACCAACAGGUGCCCUCCUUGAACACCCUCUAGCACCUCUGCGGACACAGUAGCAGGGUCUUCACCCGCGUGGAACACACCAAUCCAGCCCGUGCCCAGGCAGCAAUCCACUGGAUCCCAACCACCCCAGCCCCGCUCCUCUGGCCUCUUGGCUAUAUUGCCA